This 468-nucleotide ribosomal RNA is filed under the name uncultured bacterium. RNAcentral's name for it is "partial 16S ribosomal RNA". It matches the Rfam family "Bacterial small subunit ribosomal RNA", at positions 28 to 507 of the family's 1533-position model. The record is from RNAcentral.
GACGAACCCUGGCGGCGUGCUUAACACAUGCAAGUCGAACGGAAAGGCCCUGCUUUUGUGGGGUGCUCGAGUGGCGAACGGGUGAGUAACGCGUGAGUAACCUGCCCUUGACUUUGGGAUAACUUCAGGAAACUGGGGCUAAUACCGGAUAGGAGCUCCUGCUGCAUGGUGGGGGUUGGAAAGUUUCGGCGGUUGGGGAUGGACUCGCGGCUUAUCAGCUUGUUGGUGGGGUAGUGGCUUACCAAGGCUUUGACGGGUAGCCGGCCUGAGAGGGUGACCGGCCACAUUGGGACUGAGAUACGGCCCAGACUCCUACGGGAGGCAGCAGUGGGGAAUAUUGCACAAUGGGCGGAAGCCUGAUGCAGCAACGCCGCGUGCGGGAUGACGGCCUUCGGGUUGUAAACCGCUUUCGCCUGUGACGAAGCGUGAGUGACGGUAAUGGGUAAAGAAGCACCGGCUAACUACGUG